CCUUCAUCCUUCCCAGUAUGUACUGGGAUGAGGCCAGUUGGCCUCCGUCCUUCCCAGUAUGUACUGGGAUGAGGUCAAUGGGACUCCAUUAUUCCCAGUAUGUACUGGGGAGGGGUAAUGGGGCCUCCAUCCUUCCCAGUAUGUACUGGGGAGGGAUAAUGGGGCCUUCAUCCUUCCCAGUAUGUACUGGGAUGAGGCCAAGGGGCCUCCAUUGUUCCCAGUAUGUACUGGGGAGAGGUAAUGGGGCCUCCAUCCUUCCCAGUAUGUACUGGGGGAGGUCAAUGGGCCUUUAUUAUUCCCAGUAUGUACUGGGGAGGGGUAAUGGGGGCCUUCAUCCUUCCCAGUAUGUACUGGGAUGAUACUGGGAUGAGCCCAGUUGGCCUCCACCCAUCCCACAAUGCACCGGGGCUCGCCCCACCCUUCCCAGCAUGCCCCGCGCCCCCCCCCCCCCCCCUCCCCCCCCCCCCCCCUUUUUUUUUCCCAGCAUGCACCGGGGCAGGCCUAGCCCAGGCCCGAGCCUGAGGCUUAGGCCCGCGGCUCGGUACCGGUGGGCGGGCCCUCGGCGCCCGUUGGGCCGCAGGUGCUGGUCCACCACGGAGACGCGCUCGCCCAGCACGGCCGCCACGUCGAACGGGAACUCCAUGGCCCCGUUAUCGGUGCCGCCGCAGGGCCCGGCCUGGCCCCGGGCCUCGUCGGUGCCGCCGCCGCCGCCAGGCCCAGGCCCGGCCCUUAGCAACCGCCCUUAGCAACAGGCCACGCCCCUCCCGGAGCCAUCGGGCCAAUCACAGGCCGCCCUUCGUGAGGCAAGCCACGCCCCUUAGCAACCAAGUCCCGCCCCUAGCAACGCCUUAGCAACAAGCCCCGCCCCUUAGCAACCAGCUCAACUCCUAUUGGCCCUUUACCAAAUAAGCCCCGCCCCCUAGCAACCAAACCCCGCCCCUUAGCAACCAUCCUGGACCCCUAUUAGCCCUGUACCACUAAGCCCCGCCCCUUAGCAACCAUCCUGGACCCCUAUUGGCCCUUUGCCACUAAGCCCCGCCCCUUAGCAACCAUCCUGGACCCCUAUUGGCCCUUUGCCACUAAGCCCCGCCCCUUAGCAACCAUCCUGGACCCCUAUUGGCCCUUUGCCANNNNNNNNNNAUAAGCCCCGCCCCUUAGCAACCACCUCGGACCCCUUAGCAGCCCUGUACCACUAAGCCCCGCCCCCUAGCAACCCCUUAGCAACAAGCCCCGCCCCUCGCAACCCCCCCCCCACCCCCUCCCCCCCUCCACCCCCCCUCCACCAAUCCCCGCCCCUUAGCAACCAUUUAUUAACCAAUCCCCACCCUUCGCGGCAAGCCCCACCCCUUAGCAACCGCC
Molecule: long non-coding RNA, 1359 nt
Filed under: Anas platyrhynchos platyrhynchos (common mallard)
Lineage: Eukaryota; Metazoa; Chordata; Aves; Anseriformes; Anatidae
Description: lncRNA (ENSAPLG00000017201.1)
Source: RNAcentral